GAUGAAGAACGUAGCGAAAUGCGAUACGUAAUGUGAAUGGCAGAAUUCAGUGAAUCAUCGAGUCUUUGAACGCACAUUGCGCCCCCUGGUAUUCCGGGGGGCAUGCCUGUCCGAGCGUCAUUGCUGCCCUCAAGCACGGCUUGUGUGUUGGGCCUCCGUCCUCCUCCCGGGGGACGGGCCCGAAAGGCAGCGGCGGCACCGCGUCCGGUCCUCGAGCGUAUGGGGCUUCGUCACCCGCUCUUGUAGGCCCGGCCGGCGCUUGCCGACACAUCAAUCUUUUUUCCAGGUUGACCUCGGAUCAGGUAGGGAUACCCGCUGAACUUAAGCAUAUCAAUAAGCGGAGGA
RNAcentral lists this unclassified non-coding RNA (345 nucleotides) under soil metagenome. RNAcentral describes it as "partial contains 5.8S ribosomal RNA, internal transcribed spacer 2, and large subunit ribosomal RNA". The stretch from base 1 to 120 matches the Rfam family "5.8S ribosomal RNA", at positions 35 to 154 of the family's 154-position model. The record is from RNAcentral.